ACAAAUCUUUGAGCUUAAUUGCUCAGUAACCUUUGUGAAUUGGCUCGUUUAGGCGAGUUAGAUGGGACAUGAGAGCAGUGGAAUAGUGAUUUGACUGUUGUAAGGUCUAUACUAUCUGCUAACAUUAUAAAAUUGUCUGAUUAGAUUGGGAAACCGCAUGGUUUUCGAUAAUAAUA
This 176-nucleotide unclassified non-coding RNA is filed under the name soil metagenome. Its description in RNAcentral is "partial internal transcribed spacer 1". The record is from RNAcentral.